GUAAGGAAUAUUGGACAAUGGACGCAAGUCUGAUCCAGCCAUGCCGCGUGAAGGAUUAAGGUCCUCUGGAUAGUAAACUUCUUUUAUAAGGGACGAAAAAAGGCUUUUCUAAGUCGUCUGACGGUACCUUAUGAAUAAGCACCGGCUAACUCCGUGCCAGCAGCCGCGGUAAUACGGAGGGUGCAAGCGUUAUCCGGAUUCACUGGGUUUAAAGGGUGCGUAGGCGGACAGGUAAGUCAGUGGUGAAAUCCUAGAGCUUAACUCUAGAACUGCCAUUGAUACUAUCUGUCUUGAAUAUUGUGGAGGUAAGCGGAAUAUGUCAUGUAGCGGUGAAAUGCUUAGAUAUGACAUAGAACACCUAUUGCGAAGGCAGCUUACUACGCAUAUAUUGACGCUGAGGCACGAAAGCGUGGGGAUCAAACAGGAUUAGAAACCCCGGUGUCC
RNAcentral lists this ribosomal RNA (444 nucleotides) under uncultured bacterium. Its description in RNAcentral is "partial 16S ribosomal RNA". It matches the Rfam family "Bacterial small subunit ribosomal RNA", at positions 354 to 796 of the family's 1533-position model. The record is from RNAcentral.